AACGAACGCUGGCGGCAUGCCUAACACAUGCAAGUCGAACGAGAUCUUCGGGCCUAGUGGCGCACGGGUGCGUAACGCGUGGGAACCUGCCCUUAGGUUCGGAAUAACUCCCCGAAAGGGGUGCUAAUACCGGUUGAUGUCUUCGGACCAAAGAUUUAUCGCCUUUGGAUGGGCCCGCGUUGGAUUAGCGAGUUGGUAGGGUAAAAGCCUGCCAAGGCGAGGAUCCAUGGCUGGUGUGUGAGGAUGCUCAGCCAGACUGGGACUGAGACACGGACCAGACUCCUACGCGGGGGAGCAGUGGGGAAUAUUGGACAAGGGGCGAAGGUCUGAUCCAGCAAUGCCGGGUAAGUGAGGAAGGGGUUAGGGUUGUAAAGCUCUUUUACCCGAGAUGAUAAUGACAGUACCGGGAGAAUAAGCUCCGGCUAACUACGUG
This 433-nucleotide ribosomal RNA is filed under the name uncultured bacterium. Its description in RNAcentral is "partial 16S ribosomal RNA". It matches the Rfam family "Bacterial small subunit ribosomal RNA", at positions 29 to 507 of the family's 1533-position model. The record is from RNAcentral.